GAAACGAAAUGUCAACAGUUACGCAUGUCUUCUUGCUGGUUAACCGCGUGCUGGUUUAGGUCAUUGGUACUUGGUAUCAAGCACGACUCAAAAAUAAUAACCUAAAUGGUACUCCUUAAACUUCACGGAUUCUGUUCCUUACUGAAUAUGUAGACGGAUUUCAGUUAAUGGCGUCUUGGAAAUAAUUGUUUAAGAGAGGCUGGUCUUUGAGGGCGAGUUUAUGAAAGUGAAAACCUUGAACAUUUUUCGCCGAGGAGGAACUAUUUGCCUCUGAAUCUGAGUUAAAUACCAUAUUUGAAGAGCUUAACAAGAACAGGACCGACAUCUGGUGACUUGAAUAUGAAGUGAAUGACAAGGACAAGACGUACUCUUGUAUACAGCAUUAGUGGACAGUGGCGUCUACAGAGAUAAAUUCAUAGUUUGUACUUUAACGUGAAGUGGUGAGUGUUAUGUGCUGCUAGAGGGCAUAACAAGUAUACUCGCCAUGACCCGCUUCGAGACGCCAGGUCAAGUGGUACUUCUCUUCACUGGAGUUGCAGUCGUCAGCGUCGUCCUCAUAGCGUUGCUUAACGUCGAGGCGAAGAACAGGAAGAUGAAAGAGCCGGAGAUAGAGAAUGGCAACUUGUUCCAGGCGCUGGGGAGACAGAUAGCGCGCUGGUCCAAGAGUCUGGGUCACUUCCACAGCAGCGGCGACGGUGGCGGCGUUCAGAGCGACUUCAACGCCACCAUGGUGAAGAGAAGUCUGAGGUCCAUGCGACAUGACGUGGACGGUAAGGCACAGCAUCCCGUGCGACAUCACGGUAAGCACAGGCGGAAACUGGAGCCACCGAUGAACGUCAGCACCACGAUGGUGAGCCCCUCUGCGGAGGGCAACCAAACGUCUCCACACUCGAGGCGUCUCGCCAGCCAUGACGCGUGCUACAGCACGAACCAAGUGCUACUCGUCAUUGCCGUCACGUGCGCCGUCAACUUCGCCUUCAUUUUCGUCGUCAUGACGCUGGUGCACGUGUGCAACCGCGCCGGCAGCAAGCUAAGCGGGCUUGACUCUGUGGUUCUCGCCGAGGAUGGAGACUGCGACAUUCACGACCAAAAACUUCCGUUGGAUGGUUCCAGCUUACGUAGACAAGUAUCUUCAUACAGCAGUGUUCAGGAGUACGUGAAUUCUCUGCCAGGCAGCUUCGAUAGAACAGCCUCCAUGCUGUCGCUGCACAGUUUGCAUGCGGCCAGGAAGCCUUCGCAAGAGAACCUCCUCACAAAAAGCAACAGCCUACAUACGUCAUACUCCAUGGAGAAUCUCCUGUUCCUGGGCUGACACCAGAGUUUAGCACUUGGCUUGUAGAACCGCGAGACUGCGUUAUGGGCCACGCACAUCGAGAAGCCUCAGUGCAGUUGGCAAUUGGGUGGACUGUACUUAAAAUGAAGAAAAUCCAAAAUAACUGAUAAAUUUUAAAGUUACAAGAGGUGAGAUAGCGAUACAUAAAUUGUUAUUUUUUAUGAAUUAAUCUAAAAGUACGUUAAAUGGGAACCCGUCUUCCAGCCUUCCGAUAAUAUUGUGUUCGUGUAACUACAAAAAGUUUUAAAAUCAUUCACAAGUUAUAGAACGUUUGUGUAAUUUAAUAAUAUCGAUGCAAUAAGUUUUGUAACGUAAAAAAUGUAAAGAUUCUCUAGUGCUUAAUUAAUUAAGCACCACGCAUGAAGACGUGUGGGGGAGUGGAGAUAGCUAUACCAUUGUUUACCUUUAUACUAGAUGGAGGUGAGUGAUUAGUUUCACGCCCCUGCCGCUUUAUCCCCGUGGAAACAGUCCCCGGUACCCAUUCGAUAGGAGGCGUGGUGGGUUUCAUCGUCGAUCUGGACGUUACGGAGAAAAGAAGAAUCUUAUCCCUGCCGGGAAUCGAACACCUGUUCUCCAGUCCGUAUCCCUUCGUUGUACCGAAUGAGCAAUGACAGAGCCUCUUGUGGUGAUUCUCCUCAACAUUUGAGGAAGUGUGUACGGGCAUAGUGGACAGUUCUGGACGUUCUGGAGGUUUGGCUGAUCGAGCGUGGACAGAUACUUUUGGUACAAUGGCUGAAAUCAGCAGCAAACACAGGUUCCAGUCACAAAGACUUGCGUCGCCAAAAUCCUGACGGCUGGAUGCUGCGCUUGUGUAAGAUAAUGUAAAAUUAGUCCAAGGGAAUUACAUGAGAAAAGCAGAACAUUACAGCAGAGCAGCAGAUUUAUUCAUCCCAACAACUUGUUCACAGAUGAUGGCUAACUAUGGUGAAACAUAGUGACAUACAAUAAGGAGAAGACAGGUAAAUAUUAAUCAAAGUAGCAUGCAGAUGGCAAAAAGUGGAACACAUAGCAAGGAUCUACAGACUUGGCUUGAAUCUCAAUCCAAACUUUAAACAAGUAUCUUGUAUCACUUACUAUCCAGCCAUCAUCUGCGCAGCAUAACUCUAUGAUGGCUUAUUACAUUUUGAUGCAAUGUAGUACUUAAUUUAACCCUUUAAAUCAGAGUGGUAAAUAUGUGUACCACCUGCUUUAAUAUUUUAAAACUCUACUAAUCCCACAGUGUACUUAUGUUAUUCAUACAGUUCCUAAAAUAAACAGCUUUAACUGGUCUUUGUAACGAAAACACAGUGUUUUUCUGUGAGAUAGGAACAUAAUUUUUAAAUAUUAAUUAAAUGAAUGUCAUGCUUCAAGGGAUUAAAGAGCUAUCUUAUCUUUGGCUAUUUAGUAAUGCUGUUUCAAGCCUGGAGCUUAUAUAGCACUGUACUGCAAUAUGACAAUUAUUAAUGGUAGCAAAAGCAGUUAUGGUCUAUUUCAGAGACUAUUCCAGCACUCACCUGGACAGACAGGGAAAACCCACAGAACAUCCCUGUCAAGAUAACUAGCAGCCUAGCUGAGAUUCAAAUCACUUAUCUUCCAAAUACAAGUCUAGAAAAUUAUUACUUCACCAACCUGCAUAGUAGGACAAGUUCUAAAAAUAAGAAACAAAAUAAAAGGAUUCUCUGGUGUUUAAAAAUUUUAAGACUAAUGUUAUAAUAAAAUAUCAAUACACCUGAUGAUAAGCAAAUUACAUAAGAUCCCUACACUACAUCACACCUCUUCAGUGGUGAAUGACUUAAAUAUAGAGCAGGAAACAAUCAAAUGUAAUUUGAUCUGACUCA
Cryptotermes secundus is the source of this 3150-nucleotide RNA transcript. RefSeq lists it as uncharacterized. Lineage: Eukaryota; Metazoa; Arthropoda; Insecta; Blattodea; Kalotermitidae. The record is from RefSeq and is a predicted model, not a curated record. The transcript is spliced from 8 exons.